RNAcentral lists this long non-coding RNA (9176 nucleotides) under Medicago truncatula (barrel medic). Its description in RNAcentral is "long non-coding RNA (MTRU_LNC003856)". The record is from RNAcentral. Lineage: Eukaryota; Viridiplantae; Streptophyta; Magnoliopsida; Fabales; Fabaceae.
CACCUCCGCCUUCCUCCCACCCCAAUCCCGCCAUAUCCUCCACGGAACAUUCCUUAUGUAUUGACAAAUCAAAUAGGCGGUUGAAACGAAUGCGUAAAGGAAUUCCAUCCAGCCAAUUGUCAGUCCAAAAGAAAGUAUUACGACCACUACCUACCACCUACCUACAAUUAUCAUCAAACCCCGUUCCCACCCCUUCUCUAACGUGACACAUCAUCCUCCACCACCCUGAAGUACUUCUUCCCCCUCCCUGAAUUCGAGUAGCUAAUAUCCUUGGGUUAGGUCAUUUGGAUUACCCUCUCUGCAACUAUUUGAACGUAAUCAAUCGGUACUUUUGAAUAGAGUUACUCUAUUUGAUUUUAUUCGAUUAUGACUUGCUUAUUAAUGUGUUUUAUACGUUUAUAAAUGUUAGUUAAAUGAUCCAAUCACAUUGCCCAUUAACCCUAGCACUGAGAUUUGCACUAGUUAUUAAAUGUUCAAUUUGUAGUAGUUAUUUCUUUUGGUUUCAUUCAAUUUCAUGGCAUGGACCAACUCUCUGAAUACUAUACUAAUGCUGGCCGCAAGAUAGAUUUGUUAUUUCUAACGAUUAGCUUGAUUGAGUUAGGGUUUUAAAUCAAUUUUGGUUCUUUUGUUUUACAAAUCAAAACACGUGAUCUAUUGUUUCUUUCACUUGAACGCUUGAUUGAGUGUCAUUGUUUCCAUGUUUAAUUUUGUUAUUUUUGGUAACAGCACAGUACAUAUAAAAAAAGAGUAAAAUAAUAAAGGAAGCACCCCACCGUAUAAGGGGGUUAAUUAUUUAUUAUUAUUUUUUAAAUUAGGUAUCCUCUGCGUACAAUUGUGAAGACGAAUUCCUCAAAUCUUGGAUGUGUAUAAACUCAUUUAUUUGGUCCGUGUUUAAGUUUUUUUCUUCCGAUAUUAGAAACUAUAUAUUGAAUAGUCCGUAAAACAAAGAAAGCCACUAUUAACAAAAACCAACUCCUCAAAGAAUAAACAUCCGAAUGAUGCAUAGUGUAAUUAGAUUAAGAAUUUGUCAUUCAAAACAAUAGAGAAUUGAAAUGGUUAAUAAUGUGUCAUUAAAACCAAUAGAAAAUUGAAAUUAAAGAAAACUAGAAUAUUGUACCAAAAAAAAAAAAAAAAACUAAACUAACUUAAAUUUAGCAGUCCAAAAACAAAUGUGUAGAAAAUAAAGACAAUUACAAGAACUGAACAACUAUAUUCUAUCAUUAUCUGUGUUUCUCUUUCUCCUGGUGCAUUUUUAGUAGAGAUCUCUUCCCAAUUAAAGACGAGAAACCAUGAAAGUGUGAUGCACCAUAGGAUAGAAGUGAUAGCCGCAGCGGUACGCGAAACUACAAAGACUUCUAUAAUUGAUGUCACACUUGAUAGCAACAGAACGCAUAAGAUUGCAAAUAUAUUGUUGUUGUGGUCAUUGUUGUUGGAACGAUGUUGUAGUGUAACAAGUAGUAUCAUUUGAAAAACUAAAACAAAAACACAGAGUGAGAGCAACACUAUAGUGUCAUGUUGUGCAAUGAAUUUACCAGCGAAUGAUGACAUCUUUAGGGCUACGCAGAUAAUUAAAAGCAUGGAUAAUUGCCCUGCAUGCGGACACAAGUACUUGCAGAAAGCUCUCAUCUACGUUGUUCAUCAUGAACCUAUAAAUUAAUGAGAUAAUUAGAUACAUACAUUGAUUUUUGAGUUUUUGUUUUGUUGUGUAACCUAAAGAAAUUAAAAGACGCAGAAUAGUAAAUAUAUGAAGGUAAAUCAAAGGGAUUGAGUACCUUGGGUUAACUGGAUUAGAGGAUAUAUAUAUAUAUAUAUAUAUAUAUAUAUAUAUAUAUAUUGUCAGGUAGUCUAGUGGAUAGAAUUCACCUUAUAAGGUGAAUAAGUGGGGUUCGAACCCUGAUCCCUCCCUGCAUAUAAUAAUGUAUUAUCCUACCAAUGAGUUAGGCUCACGAGACACGGGAUAGAGGAUUUAUAUUCUUCCAUCUUAAUCACUUGAUAUGCUAUCACAAACAAUAACAAUGCAUGUAGAUAUGUUCAUGAGAUUUUUUUAUUUAUUUUUUGACAAAAAUAUAUAGGCAUGAGAUAUACAUAUAUGCAUCUAUAUAUAACCAGCGACACUCUUUAGAUAGUAAAUUUUUAUAGAAAUUUAUAUAUUCAAUGUAUUGAAAAUUGAAGUAUUAAACUUUUUUAAUGAAUAAUUUCUUAACUAUGAAUCCUUAAAGAGUACCCUAAAAGUACUAAAAGAGUAGAAUUAAAAUAAAAUAAAAAAGAUUAAAGAGAUCUAGUAUCUUGGAUUAAAUGGAGUAGAGGACUUCAAUUUUCCUUCCAUCGUAAUCAAUAAUCACUUGAUCUUCCCUUGUUUGGCAGCACUUGAGUCAAUUAGGUUAAUGACUAAUUAUUAUAGUAGGACUAUUUAAAAAGAUGUUCCCGCAAAGCCAUAACAAACUUAAGAAGACAAGUAUCGCAAAUUUGGUAUUCAUUAUUUAAUAAAAGUAAUUUUGACAUAAAAUAAUUUAGAGGAUUAUGAGCUCGUUUAUUAUUGUUUUUUUAAGAUAAAAAUCACUUUUAAAAAAAAAAAAAAAAUCACUUUUAAGAGUUUUAAAUCCGUUUGUUAUAAAUUUUUUAAAAAAUUAGAAUCUAACAAAAAUUUUAAAAAAGCUUCAAAUGAGAAGCUGUUAAAAGCAGCGUCUAAAAAAAAAAUAAUUUAGAGGAUAGAGAAAAAAUGGUUUAAAAGAUUGAACUAAUUUUAUAACAAAAAAAAAUCUCUUUUAUGUAGUUAUGUCAAACAAACUAAAUUAUUUGUUUUAAAAAAGUGAUUUUUAUUACGGUUAAACAAACGCUACUUCUUAAGACGCCAAGAGUAGGAGUUGGUGCGUGUCGUGACAUCUUGUUGAUCCUAUUUUGAGACGUCUGAGUUGUAACAAUUUGAUAAUCUUAAACUUCUGCAAUCAACAAUUCAAAUGAAUAAUCAAACUUGUUCAUCAAUCAACUUUCGGAUAAACUUGAUAAUAUGCAUUCAAUAAUAAAGGAGAAUUACAGUAUUUUAAAGUUAAACUAAAUCUUGCACAACUAAUUGUCUCCGUGAACUUAGCUCAGCUAGUAAAGACAAUGCAUAAUAUAUGCAAUCCGGGGUUCAAACCCUGGAUACCAUAAAAUAAAAUAAAAAACAGAUUAGAGGAAACUUUUUUUUAAUGAAUGCUGUAGAACGCAAAUAUUUUUCCUGCACAUAAUCAAUCCCCGAACUCGAAAUCAGGUUUCAAGAACCAUAUUUUUUUUAAAGGGUUUUUUCCCAAUGUUUUUCCUAUUUUAAUAAGUUUUGGUGACGACUUUAUUGUUUUACGAGCAACCCUCGAUUUGUUUUCAAGAAUUUCAAACCUGAAAUUUAAUGCGAGCGACCAUUUUUUUUUUCAUUUUAAAGGAUUUUUUCAAUGUUUUCACUAUUUUCAUAAUUUUUUGUGGUAACUUCAUUAUUUCCGAGCAACCGGUGCAUGCUUUGCAACCCUCAAAUUUUAAGUCACAACGUAGUAAAGUAAAAUAUUAAAACAUAUUACUUAUAUAAUCUAAUAUAAUGAAAUGAAAUAUAGUUUUGCAUGAAGAGUUUGAGGAAGGAAAGCUUGUGAAUCAUGCCAUUUUGGCCGACAUGGUAAGCAUUGAUGCAGUCUACAAUUAUCUUCUAACCUUUUUGAAAAUGUGAAUGUCCUUUCUUAGAAGGAAAUUAGUGGAUGAAUGGUUGGAUUCUUUACAAUAUUGUAUACUUGUUGUAGAUGGAAUAACUUCCGAGGUGACUGGUUAGAUGUUUUACAAGAUUAUGUGCAAAAUAUUGAUAUUACACUCUAUAAGUCCAAGCUUAAAAGCUUAACAAUAAAAUUUGGUACCAAACAAAAUCGUCUCUUGUACCAAGAAAGCUAUGAUACAACUUAUCAACCUUGCUUAAAAUGAAACACUACUUGACAAUACAAAAAAGGAGAUCCUCAAUUCGAGUAAGCGCGAGGGCAAUUCAAAGCAAAUUAUCAACUUUUCAAAAGAGGAUGUAUGAGUGGUAGUAUAGGGCGGAUGAGUAGUAGUAGCUCAUGAGUCAUUUUGUUCAAAGACUGUAUGGAUAAUAGUUGAGGAGUUCUUUAGUAUCUAAUAGUGUAUGGUUUGUUUGGUUAAUCAAACAAAUCAUACAAUAUUCGGUACCUCCUGAACUUCGAAAUUCAUAUUCAUGUAGUCGUGGAGUGAGAAAGCUCAUAAACUAUCAUAUAGGUUCCCUCUUCAACUAAUCUUAUGCCCUAUUUUACGAAAUUGAUAAUUUCCUUUAAAAUGAACUGUAGCGUGAUCCAUUGGAGCGAUCUCUUUUUUUUAUUGUCAAAUAACAUUUUAUUUUCAGCAAAAUGGACAAAUUUUACCACAACUUUAUUGUUACAUGAAAGAUGUUUGUUUGGUACCCUCAUUCUAUCGUUAAACCUUUUGGGCUUGGAGUUUUAGAGUAUUGUUAACAUUAUUUGGCACAAAGUCUUGUAAAUCAUUGACCAACUCAUCAAGGUAGCCAUGAUAUUUAUAGAAUCCAAGGUGUUAUGAUACGAGCAAAGCAAGAAUACCACAUAAGCAAAGUUACGUUGCCCUACUCUUUUAUUUUUUGAAAUUUUCAUAUUCUCGUACUUAUAUCAUACCAAAUACCGUACCCUAUAUCCAUACCUAUUCAACAUGAAUUGAAAGUUUUACCGGCAGUACAAUCAGGAAGAUACGUGUUUUGUUGGUUGUAAGAAUGUGGGAGACAAGGUGAAGAUUGUUGGGUUAAAUUGUCGACGAAUAGUUUUGCAUCUACUAUCAAUGACCUAAAUGAUAUUGUUUUUGGGCAUGAAUGUAUAUUUUCUACUAGUACUAUGUAACAACUAAGGUUUUAAAAUUUCAGUUUUAGUGAAAAAAUUUCAAAAUUGAAUUAAGACAUUAUAUUAAAAUAAGUGACAUGUUUUUACAUAAAGCAAAAGAAAAAAUAAACUUAAAUACAACUGAGAACCCUAAACUCUAGACUCUUGUAAUCAACUCUCAAGACAAAAACAAUUCUACUCGAAAAUAAGCAAACAUAUCAGAAUCAAUUCUACACCCCGCACUCAAUUUUAGUCCAUGUAAAAAUGGAACCAAAUAUACACAAUACUACUACGGGUCUGUUUGGUAACAUCCAAAAAAGAGCUUAUAACUUAUAAGUUCUUUUGACAAAAAAAGCUCUGUUUGGCAACACUUUUUCACCAUGAGCUUAUAGCUUAUUUCACGAGCUUAUAAGCUAUUUUUCAGAAGCUAUUCCAAGUAGCGUUUGAGCUUAUAACUUAUAGCUUCUCACUUUUAAUUCCAGUUUUACCCUUAUUAUUCUAACUAAAUUUCAUUUUUUACCUUUAAUCAUUUAUUAUAUUAUAAAGUAAAAUACAUAUGUUUUAAAUAUGAAUGCUAUUUUUUUUUAUGAAUGAAAGAUCCUUUUUUUUUCUCAAUAGAAAAAGAUAUUUUUUUUACCGUUACGUAAGUUUUUUUCAUUACAAUUGUUACGUUUUUUUUUGUGGGACUAUUUCAAUAUUUAAUGUCACCUUUUUUUUGCGAAAUGACACGUUAUUUUUGUGUGAUACAUCAAAAUUGUAGAGAAUAAGAACAAGGACAAUAAUUUUCUCCAUAGAAAAAAAAAUGAGAAUGUUACGUUUACCUUCACUAUAUAUAUAUAUUUGUACAAACUAUAUUUUAUUUAUUGUUACGUUUAAACUUUUUUACAUCUUAUAUAAUUUUUUUAGGCAAAUGAAUAUAAAUAUAAAUUAACAUUUAGGAAUUAAAAAUUAAUUUAAUAAUAAUAUUAAAUUAACAAUUUUUAAUUUUUAAAUUCUUUAAAAUUAAUUGGUAUAAACUUUGAAUUAAAAAUGUCAUUUCAUGUAAUUUUACAUCUAUCAGUUAAUUGAACUGCUAAUUUUAUCAAACACUUCAAGUAGUUCAUCAGCUAUAAGCUAUCAGCUAGCUUAUCAAUCAUCCACUAUUUUUACCAAAGAGAGCCUACAUAAGCACAAUGACUCCUACAGUCCAUCUCUGCAUCACUUAGGGCCACUCCUUUCACCCAGAAGAUCAAGCCUCUUCACCUCAUCAUUUGCCACUUUAAUACGCUGUUCCAUAUUCUGACAAUGUGAUCUAUGUCAUUCCUUCAUGUCAUGUUUAAUGAGCUUUAGGUUUUCUUUUCACAUAAAAUUCAUAUGCAAAGAUUUGUCAAACCCCUUUAUAAAAGCAUCUUGUCACAUAUUUGUCCAUAAUGGAAAAUAUCAAAAUAUAUUUUUGUAUUUUGUAUGACUUAUGCAAUCAUAAAUCUCUUCUAGCAACAACAACAUUAUCUUCUUUCCACUCUUAUUUUUCAACAUUAUUAGAUGCUAGUCACAAACCAAACAUAAACUUCCAAAAACAGUUAUAAUUUAUGCAUAGUACUAUUACUAAUAUAUUCACAUGCAUAACUGUAUAAUAUAUUUCACAUGUCAUGCUAAGAAGUUCCUACGUGUCUUGCAUAUAAGAAUUGUCAGAUAUCAUACUCUAGAGUAUGUGGUUCCUCUAUCUAUCCCGUGAUCAAACAGUGAUUCAAAUUCAAUUAUUCUUAUGCAUCCACAUCAACUAGGAACAAACUUCCAAAAUAUACUUGGUAAACUUUUUGGAUUUUUCCUGAAAAAUAAAACUACUUUUAAAUACUUAUCUAUCUAGUAGGUAUGCUUGUGUUUUUCUAUUAUUACAUUUUCAAUUUUUGAGAUACAUUAUAAAAUAUGGAUACUCAUUGGAUUAGGACUAUACCGGUACAUGUCGUUGUCUGUGUUUGUGUCCGUGCUUUAUAGGUGAUACAUAGUUGAAUAGUAAAAUCUUUUUUUUUUUACAAAAGUUGAAUAGUAUAAUCAUAUAAGAUUAUGAAAUUGUAAUAUAUUGUUGAAUAGUAAAAUAAUAUAACAUUUUGUAAUACAUUGUUUAAGAAAACAAACCUGAAACCACAUUUUUUAAUUAGUUAAAGAUUAUAGGUAUUAGCAUGAUUGCACAAAAUAGUCUUUCUUAUUUAGGUAUUUACACAAACCCUAAUUUAAUUUGAUUGUCUUUAUCAUAGACAGCUAAAGGAAACUAGUCUACAAAAUCUUAUUAUUUAGAUUGUUUUCAUAGACAGCUAGAAGAAACAAAGAGCAGUAAAAAGAUAGAGGACUAGAUUCUAUUUUUGUUUUCAACAAGUUUCUUGCACGAUAGUUAACCCUAUUUGAGGCAUUGUGUUACACUAAAUGUGAAAUUUCGUUUGUGUGCACUCAAAACAUAUCAUGUAAUUACACACUCGGUACAUUCCUGGUUCUUCGAUUAAAAUCGGACAAGUCAAAUUUCAACCUCAAUAUUAUAGAUUUUAAAAUGUAUUCAAAACCUGCAACGUCCGAUCUUAAUUCAACAACUAUCGAUGUGUCAACUGUGUUAAUGCACGAGAUUUUGACUGCAUGCAAUCCAAAUCCCUAAAUGUGGAUAACUCUCUCCCUCGGAAUUCAAAUUUUAGUUCGCCACAUUAUGGGUUACUACCUAUUCGCUAGACCCAAUAUCGGUUAGUGGAAUAGUUCAUAUUCAAACAAUGGGUAUUACUAAGUAAAGUAGAACAAGUAACCAUUUUACGGUCGUUUCUGAAGAGAUUUGAACUCAAGUUAGUUGAAGUUAAAAGAUCAAACUCUUAUUACUGAUGUGACAUAUGAUUGAGAAAUAGUGUCUUAAAUAUAUUUAUAUAGACCUUCAUUAUUUAUUUAAAAGCACAAUACAAAUUUGCAUUCCCUUCACAAGAAGACAUUAUUUCUGAAAACUCAAACCUCAUCACAAUGUCUUGGUUCCUUACAAUUCUGUUUCUCAGUCUCACAUUUGGUACUAAUUUUUCAGAAGCAAACCAUGACAACAAGAAGCUUCUUCCUUCACCUGUUGUAGUUGGCACUGUCUACUGUGACACAUGUUUUCAACAAGCUUUCUCUCUAAACAGCCACUUCAUUUCAGGUAAUCCAUUUCAACCUCAAAAGGGUACUUCAAUUUUAUAUCUCUUAAAAUGUUGUAAAAUUUUUCUAAACCUUAUCAUAUUUUAUUUUGUCCUUGUUUUUAUGUAUAGGUGCAUCAAUAGCUGUUGAAUGCAAAAUAGGAAAAACAAAACCAAGAUUCUAUAAAGAAGUGAAAACAAAUGAACAUGGAGAAUUCAAAGUGAAACUACCUUUCUUAGUGAAGAAACAUGUGAAGAGAAUCAAAGGGUGUAAUUUUAAGUUGUUAAGUAGUAAUGAACCAAAUUGUGCUAUAGCCUCAACUUCUACUUCAUCUUCACUAAGCCUAAAGAAAAAGUUGCAACAAGAACACAUUUUUUCAGCUGGGAUUUUCUCAUUCAAGCCUAUAAAAAAACCAAAAUUUUGUGACAAAAAACAUAGUAUUCAUAACCUUAAGAAACAACAUAGUUAUGUGAAAAAUUUGGAACAAUCAAAAUUUUCAAGCAAAAAUAAAGUACCUAAUGAAGUUGAAGAUUUCUUCUUUUUUCCUCCAAACCCUUUUUUUCCACCACCUAUUAUCCCUAAUCCACUUCAACCUCCACCUUUGAUUCCUAACCCUUUGCAACCACCACCUUUGAUUCCAAAUCCAUUUCAACCACCAAGUCCACCCUUGAUUCCUAAUCCAUUUCAACCACCAAGUCCACCACUUAUUCCAAAUCCAUUUCAACCUCCUCCAUCAAAUCCACCACUUAUUCCUAAUCCAUUUCAACCUCCCCCAGCAAGUCCUCCACCACUCAUUCCAAAUCCAUUUCAGCCUCCACCAUCAAGUCCACCACCAUCAUUUCCUUUUCCACCAAUAGUAAUACCAGGUUUAACUCCAUCACCACCGCCGCCGCCACCACCAAAAUCAAUUUUUCCUGCUCCCUUACUUCCUUUUCCUCCACUGUUCCCACCACCUCUUAGCCCUGGCUCACCCCCUACUUCUUCAAGUAAUUUCUCUCCUUGAUUAUUAACAUAUUAUUCCUUCUGGUUCUAUUAAUAAAAAACAUUUGGGUCAACAAAAGUUGAUGUAUUUGGACCAAAUUAUUAACAAGUUACAUCAUAUUUUGCUGACCCAAAUGUUUCUUAUAAAUAAGACCAGAUGGAGUAUAUAAUAUUAUAGUUGUAAAUUGCAAUCUGCAGCUGCAACUUAACAGUUUUAGAGGUCUCCACAAC